Molecule: ribosomal RNA, 303 nt
Filed under: uncultured bacterium
Lineage: Bacteria
Description: partial 16S ribosomal RNA
Rfam family: Bacterial small subunit ribosomal RNA
Source: RNAcentral
AGCAGCAGCCGCGGUAAUACGGAGGGUGCAAGCGUUGAUCGGAAUUACUGGGCGUAAAGCGCACGCAGGCGGUUUGUUAAGUCAGACGUGAAAUCCCCGAGCUUAACUUGGGAACUGCAUUUGAAACUGGCAAGCUAGAGUCUUGUAGAGGGGGGUAGAAUUCCAGGUGUAGCGGUGAAAUGCGUAGAGAUCUGGAGGAAUACCGGUGGCGAAGGCGGCCCCCUGGACAAAGACUGACGCUCAGGUGCGAAAGCGUGGGGAGCAAACAGGAUUAGAUACCCCUGUAGUCCCUGUCUCUUAUAC